RNAcentral lists this ribosomal RNA (465 nucleotides) under uncultured bacterium. Its description in RNAcentral is "partial 16S ribosomal RNA". It matches the Rfam family "Bacterial small subunit ribosomal RNA", at positions 28 to 507 of the family's 1533-position model. The record is from RNAcentral.
GAUGAACGCUGGCGGCGUGCUUAACACAUGCAAGUCGAACGGAAAGGCUCCUGCUUGCAGGGGUACUCGAGUGGCGAACGGGUGAGUAACACGUGGGUGAUCUGCCCUGCACUUCGGGAUAAGCCUGGGAAACUGGGUCUAAUACCGGAUAGGACGAUGGUUUGGAUGCCAUUGUGGAAAGUUUUUCGGUGUGGGAUGAGCUCGCGGCCUAUCAGCUUGUUGGUGGGGUAAUGGCCUACCAAGGCGUCGACGGGUAGCCGGCCUGAGAGGGUGUACGGCCACAGUGGGACUGAGAUACGGCCCGGACUCCUACGGGAGGCAGCAGUGGGGAAUAUUGCACAAUGGGCGCAAGCCUGAUGCAGCGACGCCGCGUGGGGGAUGACGGCCUUCGGGUUGUAAACUCCUUUCGCUAGGGACGAAGCGCAAGUGACGGUACCUGGAGAAGAAGCACCGGCUAACUACGUG